GACGAACGCUGGCGGCGUGCUUAACACAUGCAAGUCGAACGCUGAAGCUCAGCUUUUGUUGGGUGGAUGAGUGGCGAACGGGUGAGUAACACGUGAGUAACCUGCCCCCUUCUUUGGGAUAACGCCCGGAAACGGGUGCUAAUACUGGAUAUUCACUGGUCUUCGCAUGGGGGUUGGUGGAAAGGGUUUUUCUGGUGGGGGAUGGGCUCGCGGCCUAUCAGCUUGUUGGUGGGGUGAUGGCCUACCAAGGCUUUGACGGGUAGCCGGCCUGAGAGGGUGACCGGUCACAUUGGGACUGAGAUACGGCCCAGACUCCUACGGGAGGCAGCAGUGGGGAAUAUUGCACAAUGGGCGCAAGCCUGAUGCAGCGGCGCCGCGUGAGGGAUGGCGGCCUUCGGGUUGUGAACCUCUUUCGCUCAUGGUCAAGCCGCAACAAUGGUUGUGGUGAGGGUAGUGGGUAAAGAAGCGCCGGCUAACUACGUG
RNAcentral lists this ribosomal RNA (483 nucleotides) under uncultured bacterium. RNAcentral describes it as "partial 16S ribosomal RNA". It matches the Rfam family "Bacterial small subunit ribosomal RNA", at positions 28 to 507 of the family's 1533-position model. The record is from RNAcentral.